This 735-nucleotide ribosomal RNA is filed under the name Eubranchipus grubii. RNAcentral's name for it is "eukaryotic LSU rRNA". It matches the Rfam family "Eukaryotic large subunit ribosomal RNA", at positions 666 to 1361 of the family's 3401-position model. Lineage: Eukaryota; Metazoa; Arthropoda; Branchiopoda; Anostraca; Chirocephalidae. The record is from RNAcentral.
CCAAGGAGUCUAACAUGUGCGCGAGUCGUAGGUUGAAAAAGACCGAAGGCGAAAUGAAAGUGAAGACACUCUCGGGUGUUGAGGGGAGAUCCCAUUUCACCUCGGUGGUUUGGGCGCAUCCCCGGGGCGUCGUGAUCUCGUUGCAGAUGCGACGCACCAAGAGCGUACACGUUGGGACCCGAAAGAUGGUGACCUAUGCCUGGCCAGGUCGAAGUCAGGGGAAACCCUGAUGGAGGACCGCAGCGAUUCUGACGUGCAAAUCGAUCGUCGGAGCUUGGUAUAGGGGCGAAAGACUAAUCGAACCGUCUAGUAGCUGGUUCCCCCCGAAGUUUCCCUCAGGAUAGCUGGCACUCAAUGCAAGGAGACGGAGUCUCAUCCGGUAAAGCGAAUGAUUAGAGGCCUUGGGGCCGUAACGACCUCAACCUAUUCUCAAACUUUCAAUGGGUGAGAAGCUCAGCCGUACUUGAUAUGCGGCAGAGAUUUCGGAUCCGAGUGCCAAGUGGGCCACUUUUGGUAAGCAGAACUGGCGCUGCGGGAUGAACCAAACGUUCGGUUCAAGCGCCUAAUCAACAGCAUAUUCCGGAUCCCACGAAAAGGAGUUGGUUGCUCCACACAGCACGACGGUGGCCAUGGAGGUGGAACCCGCUUACGAGUGUGUCACAACUUCCUGCCGAAGUAACUAGCCCUUAAAAUGGGAGGCGCUAUAGCGCUUGUGCUAUACCGGACCGCCGACGU